GACGAACGCUGGCGGCGUGCUUAACACAUGCAAGUCGAACGGAAAGGCCCUGCUUUUGUGGGGUGCUCGAGUGGCGAACGGGUGAGUAACACGUGAGUAACCUGCCCUUGACUUUGGGAUAACUUCAGGAAACUGGGGCUAAUACCGGAUAGGAGCUCCUGCUGCAUGGUGGGGGUUGGAAAGUUUCGGCGGUUGGGGAUGGACUCGCGGCUUAUCAGCUUGUUGGUGGGGUAGUGGCUUACCAAGGCUUUGACGGGUAGCCGGCCUGAGAGGGUGACCGGCCACAUUGGGACUGAGAUACGGCCCAGACUCCUACGGGAGGCAGCAGUGGGGAAUAUUGCACAAUGGGCGGAAGCCUGAUGCAGCAACGCCGCGUGCGGGAUGACGGCCUUCGGGUUGUAAACCGCUUUCGCCUGUGACGAAGCGUGAGUGACGGUAAUGGGUAAAGAAGCACCGGCUAACUACGUGCCAGCAGCCGCGGUGAUACGUAGGGUGCGAGCGUUGUCCGGAUUUAUUGGGCGUAAAGGGCUCGUAGGUGGUUGAUCGCGUCGGAAGUGUAAUCUUGGGGCUUAACCCUGAGCGUGCUUUCGAUACGGGUUGACUUGAGGAAGGUAGGGGAGAAUGGAAUUCCUGGUGGAGCGGUGGAAUGCGCAGAUAUCAGGAGGAACACCAGUGGCGAAGGCGGUUCUCUGGGCCUUUCCUGACGCUGAGGAGCGAAAGCGUGGGGAGCGAACAGGCUUAGAUACCCUGGUAGUCCACGCUGUAAACGGUGGGUACUAGGUGUGGGGUCCAUUCCACGGGUUCCGUGCCGUAGCUAACGCUUUAAGUACCCCGCCUGGGGAGUACGGCCGCAAGGCUAAAACUCAAAGGAAUUGACGGGGCCCCGCACAAGCGGCGGAGCAUGCGGAUUAAUUCGAUGCAACGCGUAGAACCUUACCUGGGUUUGACAUGGAUCGGGAGCGCUCAGAGAUGGGUGUGCCUCUUUUGGGGUCGGUUCACAGGUGGUGCAUGGCUGUCGUCAGCUCGUGUCGUGAGAUGUUGGGUUAAGUCCCGCAACGAGCGCAACCCUUGUUCACUGUUGCCAGCACGUUAUGGUGGGGACUCAGUGGAGACCGCCGGGGUCAACCCGGAGGAAGGUGGGGAUGACGUCAAGUCAUCAUGCCCCUUAUGUCCAGGGCUUCACGCAUGCUACAAUGGCUGGUACAGAGAGUGGCGAGCCUGUGAGGGUGAGCGAAUCUCGGAAAGCCGGUCUCAGUUCGGAUUGGGGUCUGCAACUCGACCUCAUGAAGUCGGAGUCGCUAGUAAUCGCAGAUCAGCAACGCUGCGGUGAAUACGUUCCCGGG
This 1343-nucleotide ribosomal RNA is filed under the name uncultured bacterium. Its description in RNAcentral is "16S ribosomal RNA". It matches the Rfam family "Bacterial small subunit ribosomal RNA", at positions 28 to 1378 of the family's 1533-position model. The record is from RNAcentral.